RNAcentral lists this ribosomal RNA (253 nucleotides) under uncultured bacterium. Its description in RNAcentral is "partial 16S ribosomal RNA". It matches the Rfam family "Bacterial small subunit ribosomal RNA", at positions 524 to 776 of the family's 1533-position model. The record is from RNAcentral.
GACAGAGGGUGCAAACGUUGUUCGGAAUUACUGGGCGUAAAGCGCGUGUAGGCGGCUUUGCAAGUCGGAUGUGAAAUCCCACGGCUCAACCGUGGAAGUGCAUUCGAAACUGCAAGGCUAGAGUCCUGGAGAGGAAGGUGGAAUGCUUGGUGUAGAGGUGAAAUUCGUAGAUAUCAAGCGGAACACCGGUGGCGAAGGCGGCCUUCUGGACAGUGACUGACGCUGAGACGCGAAAGCGUGAGGAGCAAACAGG